UACGUAGGGUCCAAGCGUUAAUCGGAAUUACUGGGCGUAAAGCGUGCGCAGGCGGUUUUAUAAGCCAGAUGGGAAAUCCCCGGGCUUAACCUGGGAAUGGCAUUUGGGACUGUAAGGCUAGAGUACGGCAGAGGAGACUAGAAUUCCUGGUGUAGCAGUGAAAUGCGUAGAUAUCAGGAGGAAUACCGAUGGCGAAGGCAGGUCUCUGGGUCGAUACUGACGCUCAUGCACGAAAGCGUGGGGAGCAAACAGG
Molecule: ribosomal RNA, 253 nt
Filed under: uncultured bacterium
Lineage: Bacteria
Description: partial 16S ribosomal RNA
Rfam family: Bacterial small subunit ribosomal RNA
Source: RNAcentral